CCUACGGGAGGCAGCAGUGAGGAAUAUUGGUCAAUGGACGAGAGUCUGAACCAGCCAAGUAGCGUGAAGGAUGACUGCCCUAUGGGUUGUAAACUUCUUUUAUAUGGGAAUAAAAUGUUCCACGUGUGGGAUUUUGUAUGUACCAUAUGAAUAAGGAUCGGCUAACUCCGUGCCAGCAGCCGCGGUAAUACGGAGGAUCCGAGCGUUAUCCGGAUUUAUUGGGUUUAAAGGGAGCGUAGGUGGAUUGUUAAGUCAGUUGUGAAAGUUUGCGGCUCAACCGUAAAAUUGCAGUUGAUACUGGCAGUCUUGAGUACAGUAGAGGUAGGCGGAAUUCGUGGUGUAGCGGUGAAAUGCUUAGAUAUCACGAAGAACUCCGAUUGCGAAGGCAGCUUACUAAGCUGUGACUGACAUUGAUGCUCGAAAGUGUGGGUAGCAAACAGGAUUAGAUACCCGAGUAGUC
RNAcentral lists this ribosomal RNA (460 nucleotides) under uncultured bacterium. RNAcentral describes it as "partial 16S ribosomal RNA". It matches the Rfam family "Bacterial small subunit ribosomal RNA", at positions 338 to 795 of the family's 1533-position model. The record is from RNAcentral.